UGGAAACGGCAAGUUUGCGCCCGAUGCCAUUAGGUUGAGGGCACGUCUGCCUGGGUGUCACAUAUCGAAGCCCUCUGCCAAUUUUCCUUUGACUAUUGUGCAGGGUGGAUGUUGGCCUCCCGUGAGCUCUUUCGUCUCAUGGUUGGUUGAAAAUUGAGACCUUGGUAGGGUGUGCCAUGAUAGAUGGUGGUUGUGUGACCCACGAGACCAAUCAUGCGCUUCUCUAUUGAAUUUGGCCUCUUUUACCCAUAUGCGUUUUCUAAACGCUCGUGAUGAGACCUCAGGUCAGGCGGGGCUACCCGCUGAAUUUAAGCAUAUCAAUAAGCGGAGGAAAAGAAACUAACAAGGAUUCCCUUAGUAACGGCGAGCGAACCGGGAAAAGCCCACCAUGAGAAUCGGUCGCCCUCGGCGUUCGAAUUGUAUCGAAAAAAACCCCAAAAUUUUUGG
This 447-nucleotide ribosomal RNA is filed under the name Vicia montbretii. RNAcentral describes it as "eukaryotic LSU rRNA". The stretch from base 276 to 447 matches the Rfam family "Eukaryotic large subunit ribosomal RNA", at positions 1 to 172 of the family's 3401-position model. The record is from RNAcentral. Lineage: Eukaryota; Viridiplantae; Streptophyta; Magnoliopsida; Fabales; Fabaceae.